This 779-nucleotide ribosomal RNA is filed under the name uncultured Neocallimastigales. RNAcentral's name for it is "partial large subunit ribosomal RNA". It matches the Rfam family "Eukaryotic large subunit ribosomal RNA", at positions 24 to 618 of the family's 3401-position model. Lineage: Eukaryota; Fungi; Neocallimastigomycota; Neocallimastigomycetes; Neocallimastigales. The record is from RNAcentral.
UAUCUCUGUAGAGUCUGCAUAUCAAUAAGCGGAGGAAAAGAAACUAACUAGGAUUCCCUCAGUAACGGCGAGUGAAGCGGGAAGAGCUCAAAUUUGAAAUAUCUAUUCAAGGUUUUACCUUGACGAAUUGUAGUUUAAAGAAGUGUUUUCUGUUGGAGUUUUGGUAAAAGUUCUUUGGAAUAGGACAUCAUAGAGGGUGAGAAUCCCGUAUUUGACCAUUAUUUCCAGCUUUGUGAUACACUUUCAAAGAGUCGGAUUGUUUGGGAAUGCAGUCCAAAAUGGGUGGUAAAUUUCAUCUAAAGCUAAAUAUUGGCGAGAGACCGAUAGCGAACAAGUACCGUGAGGGAAAGAUGAAAAGAACUUUGAAAAGAGAGUUAAACAGUACGUGAAAUUGUCAAAAGGGAAGCGUUUGACACCAGUGUUGUUUCUACGAAAAUCAAUUUAUGAUGGCUUGAAAUGCUAAGCUUUAAGACUUUAUCCGCUUGUUGUUUAGUUUUCUUGUCUUUGUGAAUGCACUUUUCGUGGAACAAGUCAACAUCAAUUUCUUUUGCUGUGAAAGGGUAAGAGGAAGGUGGCUUCGGCUUCGGUUGAAGUGUUUAUAGCCCUUUAUCUCUGCAGUCGGAGAGAUUGAGGUCUGCAGCGUAGACUCUUCGGGGUUAGAUACGUCGGUGCUAAGCUAUAGCUUUUCAUAGACAACUUGUUGACUAUGUUUAGUCAUGUGGCUUACCCGCUGGCGCUAUUUUACCUACGCUUAGGAUGUUGAGUCAUCACACAUCUCU